GUUUAAAUAGCUUAUGAUAGAGUGUGAUACUGAAGAUAUCAAGGAAAUAGAUUUAUUUUUAAAUA
This 65-nucleotide transfer RNA is filed under the name Philonthus decorus. RNAcentral describes it as "tRNA-Phe". Lineage: Eukaryota; Metazoa; Arthropoda; Insecta; Coleoptera; Staphylinidae. The record is from RNAcentral.